RNAcentral lists this ribosomal RNA (467 nucleotides) under bacterium enrichment culture clone ALO1_GLFRUDD03F09P6. RNAcentral describes it as "bacterial SSU rRNA". It matches the Rfam family "Bacterial small subunit ribosomal RNA", at positions 9 to 484 of the family's 1533-position model. The record is from RNAcentral.
GAGUUUGAUCCUGGCUCAGAUUGAACGCUGGCGGCAUGCCUUACACAUGCAAGUCGAACGGCAGCACGGGAGCUUGCUCCUGGUGGCGAGUGGCGAACGGGUGAGUAAUGCAUCGGAACGUAUCCUGGAGUGGGGGAUAACGUAGCGAAAGUUACGCUAAUACCGCAUAUUCUGUGAGCAGGAAAGCGGGGGACCUUCGGGCCUCGCGCUCUUGGAGCGGCCGAUGUCGGAUUAGCUAGUUGGUGAGGUAAAGGCUCACCAAGGCGACGAUCCGUAGCAGGUCUGAGAGGAUGAUCUGCCACACUGGAACUGAGACACGGUCCAGACUCCUACGGGAGGCAGCAGUGGGGAAUUUUGGACAAUGGGGGCAACCCUGAUCCAGCCAUGCCGCGUGAGUGAAGAAGGCCUCGGUGUAAGACUCUUCGUCGUAGGGAAGAAAGUUAGACGACCGGACGAACUACUACGGU